UGUUUGCAUUUCCCACAUACAUUUGUUAAAAUAAUUAACAUUUUCUAUAAUAAUAAAUACGCUUCUACUAUCCAAAUUCGAUUCUCAUUUAUUAAUAUAUUAUUAUAGUUUUAAAUAUAUUCUUAACAACCAUAAAUCUAAUAUCAAUAUUCUAUCAUCAUCACUGAAUAUCAGUGAGCAAUGUGGACCGGAAGCUAUCCAGACUCAAAAGUCUGCGCACACCUAUGGCAUAAUACUCAACACAUAGAAAAUUUUUGGACAAUUAAUCGGAACAUUUCUAGUAUUGAUUAGAUUAUGAUUGGUGGUUGAUAAUGUAUUUUUAACAAAGAAAAUUCUUUAUAAUCUCUUUGUGCGUGUCAAAAAAGUAUUAUUUUAAGAAGGAACUUUUCUGAUCAUCAUUUUUACGAUUUGUGCUUGAAGAAUACAUUGGAAAUUUUAAUUCAAUCUAGUCGACACUAAGCAUAGUCAAAAAUAAUUUUUGACUUUGGCAUUAAUUCUCCUCUUGGUCAGCAACUCAAUUGCCCGACCCGAAAAAUUUACAAGUACGUUAUCAUCCGAAACGAUCAAAAAUAUUCAGGGAACGUUUAAGGAAUCAUUGUCACUGGCAAAAAAAAAAUCAUUCAGAUGAUAAAUUAUCGCUCGUUCAUCUUAUACUGAUUAUUGGUAAAGUACUAGCUCCUAUAGUGGGAGCUAUCAUUGAACCAUUACUCGUUAAUAUAGCCAAAUGUAACACAUGGGUCAUCACUUAUUCUUUAGCCACAGGAUUUGCCAAACCGCUAGGUUAUGAACACUUCAUCCCAGAACUUGAAAACUCCGAACAUGGUCAUAAAUUUCCAAUUGCAUAUUCAGCUCUAAAAGAGCUACCCCAAUUUGCGUUUGACCUUACUAACGGGUUAGUAACGGAUGACUCGCAAUCUUCAGCUCAAACAGAAGUCUUCGAAAACGUCGAAAAAAAUUGCAUGGCUUAAAAUUGGACAAAACAAACAAGAAAUAUUAAAAAUACGCAAAUUUAAUUGUAUAACCUUUUGCUUCUAUAUUAUAGAAAAUUUACU
This is a long non-coding RNA of Daktulosphaira vitifoliae (grape phylloxera), 1052 nucleotides long. RefSeq lists it as uncharacterized. The transcript has 5 exons. NCBI's taxonomy places the organism in Eukaryota, Metazoa, Arthropoda, Insecta, Hemiptera, Phylloxeridae. The record is from RefSeq and is a predicted model, not a curated record.